UAUAAGAUUUGGUCUGGGGACUU
RNAcentral lists this non-coding RNA (23 nucleotides) under Cricetulus griseus (Chinese hamster). Lineage: Eukaryota; Metazoa; Chordata; Mammalia; Rodentia; Cricetidae. The record is from RNAcentral.